Molecule: ribosomal RNA, 442 nt
Filed under: uncultured bacterium
Lineage: Bacteria
Description: partial 16S ribosomal RNA
Rfam family: Bacterial small subunit ribosomal RNA
Source: RNAcentral
CCUACGGGAGGCAGCAGUAGGGAAUCUUUCACAAUGGGCGAAAGCCUGAUGGAGCAACGCCGCGUGCAGGAUGAAGGCCUUCGGGUUGUAAACUGCUUUUAUAAGCGAGAAAUAUGAUGGUAACUUAUGAAUCAGGAUCGGCUAACUACGUGCCAGCAGCCGCGGUCAUACGUAGGAUCCGAGCAUUAUCCGGAGUGACUGGGUGUAAAGAGUUGCGUAGGUUGCAUAAUAAGUAGCUAGUGAAAUCUGGUGGCUCAACCCUUCAGACUAUUAGCUAAACUGUUAAGCUCGAGACCGUUAGGGGUCACUGGAAUUUCUAGUGUAGGAGUGAAAUCCGUAGAUAUUAGAAGGAACACCAAUAGCGUAGGCAGGUUGCUGGGACGGUUCUGACACUAAGGCACGAAAGCGUAGGGAGCAAACGGGAUUAGAUACCCGGGUAGUC